Molecule: ribosomal RNA, 253 nt
Filed under: uncultured bacterium
Lineage: Bacteria
Description: partial 16S ribosomal RNA
Rfam family: Bacterial small subunit ribosomal RNA
Source: RNAcentral
UACGUAGGGGGCUAGCGUUGUCCGGAAUCAUUGGGCGUAAAGAGCGCGUAGGCGGCCAGAUUAGUCCGGUGUGAAAGUCAAAGGCUCAACCUUUGAAUGCCGCUGGAAACUGUCUGGCUAGAGUCCGGGAGGGGCGAGUGGAAUUCCUGGUGUAGCGGUGAAAUGCGCAGAUAUCAGGAGGAACACCAAUGGCGAAGGCAGCUCGCUGGAACGGUACUGACGCUGAGGCGCGAAAGCGUGGGGAGCAAACAGG